RNAcentral lists this ribosomal RNA (251 nucleotides) under uncultured prokaryote. Its description in RNAcentral is "partial 16S rRNA". It matches the Rfam family "Bacterial small subunit ribosomal RNA", at positions 525 to 775 of the family's 1533-position model. The record is from RNAcentral.
ACGUAAGUGGCGAGCGUUAUCCGGAAUCACUGGGCGUAAAGCGUUCGUAGGCGGCUUGGUAAGUCGGAUUUGAAAGCCCGGGGCUCAACUCCGGAUCCGGAUCCGAAACUAUCAGGCUGGAGCGGAUCAGAGGGCAGUGGAAUUCCCGGUGUAGCGGUAAUAUGCGUAGAUAUCGGGAGGAACACCAGUGGCGAAGGCGGCUGCCUGGGAUCCUGCUGACGCUGAGGAACGAAAGCCAGGGGAGCGAACGG